UUGCUGACGAGUGGCGCACGGGUGCGUAACGCGUAUACAAUCUACCUUUUGCUGAGGGAUAGCCCAGAGAAAUUUGGAUUAACACCUCAUGGUAUUAUUGAUAGGCAUCUAUUAAUAAUUAAAGGUUACGGCAAAAGAUGAGUAUGCGUCCCAUUAGCUAGUUGGCGAGGUAACGGCUCACCAAGGCAACGAUGGGUAGGGGUCCUGAGAGGGAGAUCCCCCACACUGGUACUGAGACACGGACCAGACUCCUACGGGAGGCAGCAGUGAGGAAUAUUGGACAAUGGGCGAGAGCCUGAUCCAGCCAUGCCGCGUGCAGGAAGACUGCCCUAUGGGUUGUAAACUGCUUUUAUACAGGAAGAAUAAGCCUUACGUGUAAGGUGAUGACGGUACUGUAAGAAUAAGGACCGGCUAACUCCGUGCCAGCAGCCGCGGUAAUACGGAGGGUCCGAGCGUUAUCCGGAAUUAUUGGGUUUAAAGGGUCCGUAGGCGGAUGAUUAAGU
This 503-nucleotide ribosomal RNA is filed under the name uncultured Aureimarina sp. RNAcentral describes it as "bacterial SSU rRNA". It matches the Rfam family "Bacterial small subunit ribosomal RNA", at positions 85 to 588 of the family's 1533-position model. Lineage: Bacteria; Pseudomonadati; Bacteroidota; Flavobacteriia; Flavobacteriales; Flavobacteriaceae. The record is from RNAcentral.